AUCAGGAGGCACUCAGCUGCGCAGAGAAAUACAACCAGAGCAAGAUCAGCCUGGAGACGUUCAUGCAGUGCCUGAUCGCCCUUGCCGGCCGUGACAUCGUUGUGCGAAGCUGCGACCUGUCUCCAUCCCCUCAGGUGCUGUCCCUCACAGCUCACAGCACCUGCAAUGUCUUACGUUUUGCAGUGUGCUGAGGCCUCUUUGCCAAUGCUUGCGCUUCGCAGUACUCUUAGAGAGGCAGCAACAUCGUCUUCUUAGAAGGGAGAAUGCAUGGUGCACGAAGGCAUUGCCUGUGUACCUCAAUACAUUGCAUGAUGCUGCAUAUUGCUGACAGUUUCCGGACAUGAGUAUUGGCAUGACUGCGGCUGAACUGUCCUCCGGAACUGCCAUUCUUCUCCGAUCUGACACCAGUUCUAUAAUGUCUGCAGGUGGAAGAUGCGCCCCUGACACAUGCCAACAUAGGGGGCCUGCUGAACAGCACACAGUCAAACAAGGGCAUUUUCUGGGACGCUGUGUGGCCGCAGC
This 522-nucleotide long non-coding RNA is filed under the name Coccomyxa subellipsoidea. Its description in RNAcentral is "long non-coding RNA (CSUB_LNC000478)". The record is from RNAcentral. Lineage: Eukaryota; Viridiplantae; Chlorophyta; Trebouxiophyceae; Coccomyxaceae.